This is a long non-coding RNA of Stegostoma tigrinum, 770 nucleotides long. RefSeq lists it as uncharacterized. Lineage: Eukaryota; Metazoa; Chordata; Chondrichthyes; Orectolobiformes; Stegostomatidae. The transcript is spliced from 3 exons. The record is from RefSeq and is a predicted model, not a curated record.
UAUUUAUCCCUCAGUGAAUGUUGUUUCAAUGGAGAAACUAGUCAUUACCAAUUGUUAUUCAUGAAAACGUGCUUUCUGCACAUUAACCAGUGCCUUUCCUACAUUACAGCAGCCAAAAAAUAGUAUUUGGAUGAAAAAGGCCCUUUGGGAAAUCAUUCCAAAUGUUCAAGGAGUUGAAUUAGAGCAAAGCUUCGUUGAGUUUCAUUUUGAACUGAAGUAUCUGAAGGGUGAUGUCCUGGCUGCUCAGUUGACAAGUUAAAAUGUUAAAUUGUUGAAGGAAGACCAAGUAGACAGUGAAGAGGCAAAUGAAUAUUUGACAUAUAUAAUGAGGCUGAAGUCAGCAGUUGAUAUUUUUUGGUCUAGUAUUUAAGUGUGAUCGUACUCUUUCUCUUUUCAUGUUGAAUUUGGCUUUUACUUUUAUGGUGUUUUCAUUUGUCUUUUAGGUUUGACGAUACUUCACCUUUCUCAUUCCUCAGACUCCAACCCACUUUGAUUCUGAAAGAUUUGACUGUUAUUUCCGGUCAGUCAGCUUGCCGAAGCAGUCAGAUUUCCGUCAUACUACUCUGAAUAAAAAUGGCAUCAGGAGAUGAGCUUCCAUCACAUCUCACUGUCGAUACCUCCAACGUUCAAAUUCUUAACUCUGAGACCUCAAAAAGACUCGUCGAAAAUUUUGUAAUCGCUCUCAUGAACAAGGAGCGUUUCUACAUCCGCACAUUCUUUUCGACAUACAAAGCAUAUACCACUGCUGAAAGUGUGUUGUACAUCCUCCU